This 115-nucleotide transfer RNA is filed under the name Yersinia enterocolitica. Its description in RNAcentral is "tRNA-Met". The record is from RNAcentral. Lineage: Bacteria; Pseudomonadati; Pseudomonadota; Gammaproteobacteria; Enterobacterales; Yersiniaceae.
GGCAAUUAAUGGCAAUCUAUGUCACUGACAUAUAUCACAAUUAUAUGAUUUACAUAGAUAUAGUUAGAUACUCAUAAUCGCUUGGUCACUGGUUCAAGUCCAGUAGGGGCCACCA